This 66-nucleotide transfer RNA is filed under the name Unio crassus. RNAcentral describes it as "tRNA-His". Lineage: Eukaryota; Metazoa; Mollusca; Bivalvia; Unionida; Unionidae. RNAcentral also lists the same sequence under 4 other names. The record is from RNAcentral.
UAAUGAGUAGUUUAAGAAAAACGAUAGGUUGUGGUUCUAUAAAUAGAUUAUAAUUGCUCUCAUUAG